RNAcentral lists this long non-coding RNA (403 nucleotides) under Anser brachyrhynchus (Pink-footed goose). RNAcentral describes it as "lncRNA (ENSABRG00000001628.1)". Lineage: Eukaryota; Metazoa; Chordata; Aves; Anseriformes; Anatidae. The record is from RNAcentral.
CCACAGGAAUUCUUGGAACAAAUAAUGUUGCUGAAAUAAACAUCUAGAGAGGCUGUCCAGGAAAAGUGACAGACUACAAAAUGGUCUAAAAGUCACGUGUACAUAAUAUUGUUCAUGUUAGACUGGAGUACCUAGUGGUUCCAUCUGGCCUGAAUCUUUCUGGAUGUAGCAAAGACAACUCUCUUUUACACUGCUUGGAGAGAAGGAUGUGCAUCUUUGUCUUGAGGACUGAAAGCAGCAAGCUGUUGUAGCCUAACCUAAAUAAAGAGAUGCGACCAUGGGAAGGUUAUUCUCCGGUUAUAUUUUCCUGACCUUACGAAGAAAGAAGACAAAGCUUCUCUUCCAAGAUGAUGUUCUAGCUGCAGUACUCUGUGGGUGAUAAUUUGCUGAAACUCCAAGUAAC